RNAcentral lists this ribosomal RNA (530 nucleotides) under uncultured bacterium. RNAcentral describes it as "bacterial SSU rRNA". It matches the Rfam family "Bacterial small subunit ribosomal RNA", at positions 777 to 1310 of the family's 1533-position model. The record is from RNAcentral.
AAUAGAUACCCUGGUAGUCCACGCCCUAAACUAUGUCAACUGGUUGUUGGGGGAGUGAAAUCCCUUAGUAACGAAGCUAACGCGUGAAGUUGACCGCCUGGGGAGUACGGUCGCAAGAUUAAAACUCAAAGGAAUUGACGGGGACCCGCACAAGCGGUGGAUGAUGUGGAUUAAUUCGAUGCAACGCGAAAAACCUUACCUACCCUUGACAUGUCCAGAAUCCUGCAGAGAUGCGGGAGUGCCCGAAAGGGAAUUGGAACACAGGUGCUGCAUGGCUGUCGUCAGCUCGUGUCGUGAGAUGUUGGGUUAAGUCCCGCAACGAGCGCAACCCUUAUCAUUAGUUGCUACGCAAGGGCACUCUAAUGAGACUGCCGGUGACAAACCGGAGGAAGGUGGGGAUGACGUCAAGUCCUCAUGGCCCUUAUGGGUAGGGCUUCACACGUCAUACAAUGGUCGGUACAGAGGGUUGCCAAGCCGCGAGGUGGAGCCAAUCCCAGAAAGCCGAUCGUAGUCCGGAUUGUUCUCUGCAA